UGUCAGUAAGAUAGGGUAAUAAUUCCUAAUUUACAGGGUGUGGUGAGGGCGAAGUUCAUCCCGUGAGCACCUGUCGGAUGAUCUACGGCAGUGGCUUUCAGAACAGGGUUCCUGGACCAGGAGCAACAGCAUCACCUGGGAACUUGUUAGAACUGAAAUUUCUGGGGGGCUCCACCCCAGACUUGCUGAGUCAGAAACCCUGGGGGGAGCCCAGCAGUCUGUGUUUGAAUGAGCCCUCCAGGGAUUCUGAUGUCUGCUAAAGUUUGAGAACCAACGAUCUAGCUAGAACAUAAUGGACCCUCAAUAAACAGUAGCUGUCAUUGCUAUUUUUACAGCUUUAAGGAAAGAGUUUGCCAAAGGAAAAUGUUCACAUAUCACCAACUGCUAGGGCCAUCUGGGAUGAGCUGGAGUUUGAGGACACCCAAGACUUUGAGUUCCAACACCAACAGUAAGUGGUUUGGGGAUUCUCCCGGCCACUCCACAGAGGGCUGAGACUGACCACGCUACCUCAGAGCUGACUCCCUCGCAGGCCUGUCCAGGGCCGUUUCUGAUCCUACCUUACCCGCUCAAGGUAAGAUGUUCCUCUGCAUCCCAGAGGAGUCUGGGAAUAUCUCAAACGGGGUGAGGGGGAAAAGGGACAGAGAGACUUUCCGAGAGAGGGAGAAGGUACAAAAGAAAGAAAGAAAGAUUCAUCCCUAAAAAGUUGAAGUGAACAGCUGAGUAAAGAAAAAUCUGCCCAGAAAUUUGGGGGGUAAGAAUGUUCAGAAAAGAGGAAGGAGAAAAGGAGAGCAGGAAGCCUGGGAGAUUCCUGAUACCACAAAUACACCAAAGGGUGAUGUGCUGGCUCCGGAGAAGCAGGAAGAAGCAGAAACAACACAGAAGGAGUUGAAGUAAAUAAUAUUCCAUUCUUUUUUUCCCCCUUUCUUGCUGAUUCUAUAGAAGCAGAGUCUUAAUCUUCUACGGGAGCAUUGUGAUACUUGUUCUGUAGCGGAAAGAGCCCCUGACUCCACCGACUAGAUGGGUCAGCUGCCACUAGAUGGGGGUAUUUUGCUGAUUUGGGUGGGAGACACUUAGAAAAAUCUAUUUUGAGAUGUUCUGCAGUCACCAUUUGGGCUCCAUUUGGGCUUGCCCAGGAGAAACCAGGAGGAGAAGGCAGGUUUGUACUCAAGCAACAGCUGACAACCGACCCGAACAACAACAAGGAGAGAGAGUGUAUAAGAAGGAUGCUGGAACAAUCAGGGAGGGAGCACCGGAGCUGCUGGGAAGAGGCAAGGUCGAGGCCACAGUUCAGUGUCCUGGCCAUCGGCUUCUGUGGUCCAUACGCGGGCCACUGUGUUUCACCACGAGACAAGCAGAGGACCAGGAUGGAAUUGCUGAAUUCACUAGAAAUAUAACUGUGCCCCCAUAUCCAGGGAUUCCUUUCUUUACUCCUCUUGGCACAGUGAACGGAUCUUUAGAUUUCUUCCCCAGCGGCUACAUGUACAUCUCUACUUAUUUGAAAUGAAAUAAGGCACUGGCUCUUUAAUUCUGAGGCUUGGUGCACCAACCUCAGCAGGCAUCAGCCUCACUGGAGGGCGGGUUAAAGCCACCACCGCUACCACCGCCCCCAGAGUUUCCGAUUCAGUAAGUCUGGAGUGAGGUCUGACAAUCUGCAUUCCUUCAAGUUCCCAGGUGCCGCUGCCGCUAGAACACUGCGAACCAACAUUCUAAGCUUAUACACAGCUGGCCUGGGAGGGGUGGAAGAGGUCCCAGAUGAAGACUGGUAUGGAAGGCAAGGACAAAGAAUGUGCUGACGGCGAUGGGAGACACUGGAGGAGCAAGGCAAGCUGGAGGAAGUGUGGGAAGCUGCUGAGUGAAGCAUAGCCUCACCAGGGAUGAAGGCUGCCAUCUUGAAGGGUCAGGAAAGUCCAGCUGAAUACCACAGGAUCAAAAGGAAAAGACAGGUGCAGAUAGAAAAGUAGAGAAAGAUCUGAACCUCAGAUAACGAGAACCAUGUUAAGCUGGACAGAAGCUCCCAAUACCACUGAGGAUGUUUCUCCCAAGCUGGACCCAGGUGACUUCUGCACCCUCUCUCUGAGCUCACUGGAGCUAACAUGAGCGUCCUAUGCAUGACCAGCGUCUGCUGACCAGUGGCCCCAGAGCAAAUGUGUUUACAUGCUUUCACACAAGUAAUGUUACAUCUGCUCCCCUCCUCCUGAGUAAGGGGAUGAAUAAGGUAAGGAGAACCAAGUCACCUGAGCCCAGGAAGGAGUCCCCAAUCAACUCUGAGUGGAGGUCAAGGUGGCCACAAAAUUACCCCACUAUAUUGCCCCCCAUACUCCCUGCCAAGCCUUGGUGGGAGAGGAAGCUGUGGAGGGGACAGGAGGAAAGGUGGGCUCCAUCUCUCUGGCAGAUCCUUAUCCUGGCUCUGCAGAAAGGCGGACCUUGGACCUCCAGCUGGACCCCCGCCAACCUUCUCUUCCCAGACCCCACCCUUACCCAUGAGACACUCACACCCAGCUGGUACUAACUCAGGGGCCCAGGUCCACCCUGCUGUUCGGGUUUGGCUGGUUCAAAAACACACAAUCUCAGAAAAAAUGUAGUUUUCUCUCCACCACACAAGGCUGGUGACCUACCCUACAUGAUUCCUUCAGAAACAAAAGCAUCCUAACCUUCCAAGGUCAGCAUUACUCCACCCCAACCCACAGCCAAGGCCAUCAAACACACAAGCAAGCAGCAUAUUUUUACAAAAUCCUUAACAACCUUCUUUCCAGAACUCUGGGGCAAGCAGCCCUGGGGCCGCCAACCAGACUUCCUUCCUUGGCCCAGGCCUCGAUGACGAACCCGCCUCAGCUCAGCAGUUGGCCAGAAAUGCCGAGCUGCCUUAGUGCCCGAGUUCCCAGACGUGUCUGCAUUGCUGAGGAUCAGGGGAGGCCGCAGCAGGUCUGGGCGCUGGGGCAGGAGUGAGAAGGAGACAGCACAGCUGGGGCUGAGAACACCCAGAACCGGUGGGGGGUGGGGGUGGUGCUGGGGAGGCUCUCUCACUGCUGUGUGGGGUAUAUUCUGGAAGCCUCAGACCUCCAUGGCCAAGGCAGCCACCUGCACUCAGGCCAGGGGCUUGACCUACGUGAACUCUGUUCAUCUUCACAACAAUCCUGCCAUGGGGGUUAUUUUACAUUUUACGGAUCAAAGUUGCCCAAAGUCGCCACCAGGAAGCUGCCCCAGCCAGGAUUCAAACUGAUGCUCCACUCUGCCUCCCCACCGAGUCAGUCCUCAAAUUGAGUUCUCUCUGGAAGGCUUUCUUUCUUCCUGACAUCUACACACAAGCACUUUCCCUAAUGUAAAACUCUCUUCAUGUGAAGAGACAGGCCAGUCAACAAAACAGUCCUUGAGAGAAGGCUAUGGAGCAUCGUAGCAUCCUGAGAACCAGAUUUUGUCUGUUUUGUUCAUGGUGGAAUGUCCGGGGUCUACGACAGCGCCUGGCGCAUGCUGACACAGAGGAGGUCCCCAAUACAUGUUUGUUGACCCAACACCCUUCUAGAUGGCAGAUUCUUGCAAAGUUUUCUUGGUGUCCUAGUUAAAUCCCUUCCUAAAAACAAGGAAAGAUUUCAAGAGCGCCCAGCUGGACUCAAGUAGCCACGUGGACACAGCAUAAGUCAGAUAUGUGCAGGCUCGCCCUCAGUCCUCAGAGACCAGACUACACGCAAUGGACAGAACGACAUCCGACUGCUUUCCUGUGUCUGGCCAGAAAUGCCCCCUGCACAGUUACCUCCUGGAAGGACACUGACAACUCCCCACACCCCUUUCAGUUAUGUAUCAGCCCCUGAAGGAUUCUCAGCCCUCGUGGGACACUUCAAACGCUUCUUGCCAACUCCGCAGCAGAGUGGGCCCUUCCCAUCCAGUGCUGCCGGUCUGGCCCCUGUGUCCCACUGAGGAAUGACAGAUGCACUGGACCCCCUCCAGCCCCACAUCCUAGAAAGCUCCUCAGCCAGAUUCUCUUUAAGUAAUGCUGUGUCUGAAGGUCCUGCAGCACCACUGACUUCCUUUAGGAGAAGAACAGACCGACUGCAGUGGCCCUGCUGAAACUGGGCCCCUGGCCGCCAUGUUAUUUCUGCUGACCCAAAGGGAAAACACAGCUAAGGAGCCAGGCCUUCCAUCGGCCUGGGAAUGGCCCCAGACAGCAGCAAACCAAGGGCCCUGCCUCAAGGAGCUCACAACUGGCUUGAAAACCAAGACAAUUUUAAAAUUGUUUUGAAUUUUGAUAAUUUAAUUAAAUUUUAAAAAUAUCUAUAUUUAAAAAUAAUUUUAAAUUUUUAAAUAAAAACAAAUAAUUUUAAUUAGUUUUUUUAAUUGUGAAAUAAGAAAUGUACCAUAAAGCACAUAAAGGGCACUGCUUGUUAACAUACCUGUACACCCACCAAACCCCGCCCAGAUCAAGAUACAUAGACUAUUUUCAGUACCUCAAAAGGUUCUCUCAUGUGCCUCCUCCAUUUGUCUAUACCUCCUCCUCAAGGUAACCACUUUUUGACCUCUAAUAUCAAGUAUUAGUUUUGCCUGAUUUUGAACUUCAUAUCACUGGAAUUCUAUCAUACAUGCUCUUUUAUGUCUGGCUUCUUUCACUUAACCUAUGUGUGAGAUUCAUUUAUAUUGUGUGCCAGUAGUCUGUUCUUCUAAAUUUCUGAGUGGUAUUCCUUCAUAUUAACAUACUACAAUUUCUUUAUCCAUCUGCCAGUUUGGGAACUAUUUUGAAUAAAGCUGCUAUGAACCUGC
Equus caballus (horse) is the source of this 4749-nucleotide long non-coding RNA. RefSeq lists it as uncharacterized. NCBI's taxonomy places the organism in Eukaryota, Metazoa, Chordata, Mammalia, Perissodactyla, Equidae. The record is from RefSeq and is a predicted model, not a curated record.